Molecule: long non-coding RNA, 1056 nt
Organism: Lepisosteus oculatus (spotted gar)
Lineage: Eukaryota; Metazoa; Chordata; Actinopteri; Semionotiformes; Lepisosteidae
Source: Ensembl
CUUCUUUCCAUCAGUUGUCUUAAUAAUGGAAACUCCUGCAGGGGACGUUUAAGAGGUAGAACAUGUGUUACUAAUUUGUAAAUGCAUGUAUGGCCCUACUGAUACUGUAUAAUUAAGCCAUCAAAAACUAAUGCACUUAUAGAUGGAUUGCUAGAUCGAUUUUAAUAGGGGUUUCCAGAUAAGGCAGACUGUGAAUGUGGCUGCCUUUUGUUUCCUUGUGUGACGCAUGCUUUAUAAGGCAGCUUUGAAGGACAUUGUGAGGUUGGUUCUUGGGGCAAAUAACCACCACCUCCUUCUGUGAGAAAUCCACACAGCACACAGCGCAGACUGAAACAGCUGAAGGAGGGCAUUGAGGCUCAGUUUCCAGCUCUCGACACACCAGUUGACAAAAUGAAGAGGGAGACAAUCCUUGUGUUGGGACUGGUGUUAAUCCUCUCUAUGGCUGUCCUUUCAUCUGAAGGCAGAAAACUCAAGUGUUGCAAAAAAUAUUUUCUGAAACAUCACAAGAAUGACUCCCUCAGGCCCAAGAAUGCCAAGACUGGCCAUCGCUGCAGGCCAUGCAGACCAAACAUACCUCUCCCUUCUUCGUAAUCAGCUUCUGCCAUGCUUGCGUGACAAAGCUGGGAAGGCGUAUACACACCAGCAUAAUACUUUCAAGGGAAUAAAGCAUCUUGCCUAGUGAUUCAUCUUCUGAAUAAAAAAAAAGUAGAUCUGACGUUGAUGCUAUGCACAGCCUUAACUAUGCACCAUAUACUGUAUGUGUCUGGCUUUGAUAGCUCAAACUAAGAAAAGCUUUUGUAGUAUUCUUUAAUGCAAAAUUCAACCCACGGGAAAAUCGAAAUAUUUGUUACCCUCACAUGCAACUAAUGAUUUAGGUUUCUUGUUGUAAUGGGUAAUUUUUUAAACAGCCCUUAUUAUUGAAACUAUUGUUUGACAUUUCUAACCUGCUUUUUUCUUAUUCUGUAUGAAAACGGAAUAAAAAUAUAUUCUGCUACAUGGACACCUAUCUUGCUACAUUAAAAUAAAAAAAAUAUUGUACUUCUUCAAGUCCCAAUU